This 464-nucleotide long non-coding RNA is filed under the name Linum usitatissimum (flax). RNAcentral's name for it is "long non-coding RNA (LUSI_LNC001643)". Lineage: Eukaryota; Viridiplantae; Streptophyta; Magnoliopsida; Malpighiales; Linaceae. The record is from RNAcentral.
AGCUGGAUUGGGAAGAGCUCCUGCUACGGUGGUAUGCAUGUCAUAUUGUCUCUGAAUUAUUUUUGCGUAUCUUUCUGUGGUAAUGUCUAAUGUGUCACGAUCCUUAUACCUGGUUCACUGCAUUUCCUCAAAUUCUCACACUUAGUAAUGAACUAUGAAGAUUACAUUCAACGAUGCCUAUUGGCUAAGAGAAACUCUUGUAGCCUACUAUUAAAUAAUCACACUUCCAUCAAUCCAUUUCAUGGGUGUGAUCCUUAGCUCCUUCAAUUAUGACAAGCCAAUUAUAUCUUCAAAAAAAAUUGAUUUUAUAAAAUAAAAAAACAAAUAGUAACCCUGACUAGUAGGCCUAACAGUAACGACGAAAUGAAAAUGUUCACUGGACCAACGUUGCUUAUCUAAAGAUGUUACAGAUUAGUAGUUUUUCAAAAAUUAGUUAAAUAACAGGUAAGUAGUUUUAAACAAUU